GAGAUAUUAGUAAAUAUAAUUACAUCACCUUGUCAAGGUGGAAUAGCAGGUUAAAAUCUUGUAUAUCUUU
This 70-nucleotide transfer RNA is filed under the name Acheilognathus tabira nakamurae. Its description in RNAcentral is "tRNA-Asp". It matches the Rfam family "tRNA". Rfam says of the family: Transfer RNA (tRNA) molecules are approximately 80 nucleotides in length. Lineage: Eukaryota; Metazoa; Chordata; Actinopteri; Cypriniformes; Acheilognathidae. The record is from RNAcentral.